AUUCAUGUGGCUCUAGAGAAGGCAGGCAGACUCCAAAAGGCCGUGGAGAAGAAGCCAGAAUCAGAGCCAGGUGGGUGGCCUUCAUAUACCUCUUUUUCUCUCUUUCACCAUCAUCUAAGUAGCCCUGAAUUUCAGUGCAGUUGAGAGCUGUAAAUUUACAGAGUGUAAGAAAGGGAUCUUGCCCAAUGCCUGCGCAGAGGCUCCUACAGCUCCUGUGAGUGCAGCAGUUCAGGGGAUCAGGAGAAGGGACCAGGACAAGGAUCUGCAGAAGCCAGGCGGCAGGAACUGGCUCUUGGGGGAAGGAAGUCAUCUACUCAGUCUCAUCCCUAAUGUAUCCAAGUGCCCAUGUUCCCCCUGAAGGCAGAGCUAUAGGAAACUGCACUGAUCUAUUAGGGCAGGUCUGGGCAGGCUGGCGCGAGUAUCCCCUAGUAAGAGUCAUUUGGAAGCUCUGGUAGCUGGAGGGCCCCUAGAGCCCCAUCAGGCACAUGUGCAAAUGAAGACUGACUGUUGCCCAUUUGAAGCCAUCACAUCCUUGUGACUUGCAGAAGUUGGGCUCCUUCCGCAAUGCAGGCUAUGCAGCCUCUUGGGGCUAGGCCCUAGAUCCACACACCUAAGGGGCUUAGGAGCCUGCUGAAGGGAUUUGCAUUGCACAUGUGCAUGCAGCAUGGUUCAAGGGAGCCAGGGGUCUGGAACAGGGCAAGGUUCCAGGGAGUCUUGGUCAUGGUAUCCAGUUCUUAGAGCAACCUCCUUAUUCUAAGCCCUAACUUCCUCACUGGAGAAUAUUCUCCUUCAAGGCAGAGCUAGUGGAGAAUUGACUGCUUGGCCACCUUGCCUGGUUAUCAUCCCAUAAUAGAAACCUGGGAGCCCUGUUGGGUUGUUGGAGAGACCUGGGUCCCACCAAGCAGCAAGUCCUAAUGGAAACUACCUGUUGUCCAUUUCCAGCUGCCUCAGAGUGAUUGCAGGGCAUUCGCUCCCUCCAUCCUGGAGGCUAUGGACGUAUCGGGGCUGGGCGAUAGCUCCACAGACAACCUGGAGAACCCUGGUUGCUAAAGGUACUGAAAGGGUACCUAUUGCACAUGUGCAUUCAGCAGAGUUCAAGGUAGCCAGGGAUGUGGCACAGAGCAAGGGUUCAGAGAUGUCAGCUCAAAGAUGUGGGUUCUUGGGGAGCAAGGCAUCUGCCUAAUACCAAGCCAUAACCUACCCAAAGAUGCACAUUUCCUUUGGAGGUAAGAGCUAAAGAAACUUGGCUGAGACAAUACGGUCCUACUGUACAGCACAGGGAACUAUAUCCAGUCUCCUGGGAUAGACCAUGAUGGAAAAGACUAUCAAAAAAAGAAUAAUGUAUGUAGUUGUAUAUGUAUGACUGAGUCACUUUGCUGUAAAGCAGAAAUUGACACGACAUUGUAAAUCAACUAUACUUAAAUAAAAAUAAAAAGAACUGGAGUUUGCAUUGUGGCUCAGUGGGUUAAGAGCCUGACUAAUAUACAUGACGAUGCAAGUGAUCCUGGCCUCGCUCAGUGGGUUGGUUAAGGAUCCAGAGUUGCCGCAAGCUGUGGUGUAGGUUGAAGAUGUGACUCAGAUGUGGGUAUUGACGUGGUUGUGGCUGGGAUAGACCAGCAUCUGCAGCUCUGAUUCGACCCCUGGCCUGGGAACUUCCAUAUGCCGCAGGUGCAUUCCUAAAAAGAAAAAAAAAAUUUUUUUGAGGGAAUAAUAAGUCUCUCUCUCAGAGGGAGAGAGAUAGAAAGAAACUUGGCUGCCUUGCUCAGGUGGGACCUGGUGGGAUGGCCCAGACAUCCUCCCAUAAGAAACCCCUGGGAGCCCUGUUUGCUGGAGUAACCUCGAGUCACAUCAAGCGUCAACUCAAAUGGGGUCAAACUGUCGCCAGUUUGCAGAUGCUGCCUCAGAGAGAUUUGCUGGGGCUGGGCUCCUUCCACCCUGGAGGACAGGCAGGCUUUGCAUCGUGGGCCUACUGCACUGACCUGGCUGGCCAAGGCCUUCUGAAGCAAUAUGUAAUGGGCAUGUUCCUACAGCUCAGGUCGGGCAAGCCAGGGAUCUGUAAGAGGGUAAGGGUUGGGAAAAGCCAUAUCUUAGGGAUGGGCUCUUGGGUGAAUAAGGCCUCUACCUAAUUCCAAUUCUUUGGACACUGAAGGGCAAGCCUUGGGUGGAUAGCUUACACUGUUCCAAAUUUACCAUGAUUAAUUAGGUCCUGGAUCCAUGUUCAUGAUGAUAAUAGAUGGAGAUGUUGUGAGCUAUGGUAAGAUAGCUAAAGACCAAAUUGAAAAUGGAGCUCUAUGUUGCUUAAUUUGCCAUAAUAUAUUUCCUGAUUGUUUUUUUUUUUCUUCUUUUAUGGCCUCACGCAUGGCAUAUGUAUGUUCCCGGGGUAGGGGUUAAAUCUGAGUGGCACCUCCAGGCAACACUGGAUCCUUUAACCCACUACACUGGGCUGGGGAUUGAACCCGUGCCUCUACAGCAACCCAAGAGGCUGCAGUUGGAAUCUUAACCAGCUGGGCCAUGUUGGGAACUCCUGUUUCCUGACUUUUAUUUUUAUUUUUUAUUUAUCUUUUUCUUUUUUGGCCGUUCCGUGGCACAUGGAGUUCCUGGGCCAGGGAUCGAACCUGUGUCCCAGUGCUCUCAAGAUGCCUUCAAAUCCCGUUGUGCCACAGCAGGAACUCCUGUCUCCUGAUUUAUAAAGAUAGUUUUACUAAUUUUUUCCCUGAAUUUCAAACUUAGCAUGCUUAUUGUAAAAAAAAAGAAAAUUUCUUUAUGAAAAUUUGUACAAAUGCUCUCCAAGUUCUCACAGUGAAUGUGGAUAGGACAACUGGAGAAGGAGGAGACUGAGCACAAACCAGUGUGGCCUGCUUUUUAUUUAGGGGGUUCUGAGCAAACUUCUGGGCAUUGCUAAGGACCAAACUCUUCUUCUACUCCCAGUUCUUCGUUUUCUGGGUCUUGUAAAACAGUGCGUGGGAGGAAAAGGCACCACCAUAUGGGGAUCUGGGCAGACCUAGUUUGAAACUCUGUCCCUCUGUGGCUGUGAUGUACAACUUGGCAUACUUUUGAAAGCUUGCUGUGCUUUUACCUCUGGAGUGGGGGAUAACAAUACUUAACUUGUAGGGCUAUUGUAAGGUUAAAAGAAAGAUGAUCCUUAUCAAAUGCCUGGUGCUUGGCAUGUAGUGGCUCUAAAACAGAAGCAAGUGGACCCAGUCUCCUGUCUAAUAUCAGAGUAGGCGCUGGGAUACACAAUUUUAUUUCUGACCACGCCCUCGGCCUUCGGAAGUUCCCAGGCCAGGGAUCAAACCCAUGCCACAGCAGUGACAACCCUGGAUCCUUAACCCAUUGAGCCGCCAGGGAACUCCGGCACUAGGAUAUUACAGAAUUGCCUGGUCCUGAGAUCUGUUGGGAGAAUCGCUGCCCUCCUUCGCUCAGAGCUCCUUAGUGUUUGACCAGGACAGUUCUGUCUCCUCCUCCAUGCGAGGCCCACGUAAAUGCAAUCACUUCCUCACCCAUCCC
This 3507-nucleotide long non-coding RNA is filed under the name Sus scrofa (pig). RNAcentral's name for it is "lncRNA (ENSSSCG00035014471.1)". The record is from RNAcentral. Lineage: Eukaryota; Metazoa; Chordata; Mammalia; Artiodactyla; Suidae.